Molecule: unclassified non-coding RNA, 313 nt
Filed under: plant metagenome
Description: partial contains 5.8S ribosomal RNA, internal transcribed spacer 2, and large subunit ribosomal RNA
Rfam family: 5.8S ribosomal RNA (bases 1-105)
Source: RNAcentral
GAAAUGCGAUACGUAGUGUGAAUUGCAGAAUUCAGUGAAUCAUCGAAUCUUUGAACGCACAUUUCGCCCUUUGGUAUUCCAAAGGGCAUGCCUGUUCGAGCGUCAUUUGUACCCUCAAGCUUUGCUUGGUGUUGGGCGUUUUUUGUCUUUGGCUCGCCCAAAGACUCGCCUUAAAACGAUUGGCAGCCGGCCUACUGGUUUCGCAGCGCAGCACAUUUUUGCGCUUGCAAUCAGCAAAAGAGGACGGCAAUCCAUCAAGACUCCUUCUCACGUUUGACCUCGGAUCAGGUAGGGAUACCCGCUGAACUUAAGC